ACACGACUACAUUAGAUACCCCGGUAGUCCUAGCCGUAAACGAUACUCGCUAGGUGUCGGCCACGGUGCGACCGUUGUCCGUGCCGUAGGGAAGUUGUUAAGCCUGCUGCUUGGGGAGUACGUCCGCAAGGAUGAAACUUAAAGGAAUUGGCGGGGAGCACCGCAACGGGAGGAGCGUGCGGUUCAAUUGGAUUCAACGCCGGGAAGCUCACCGGAUAAGACAGCGGAAUGAUUGCCGGGCUGAAGACCCUGCAUGACCAGCUG
This 264-nucleotide ribosomal RNA is filed under the name uncultured archaeon. Its description in RNAcentral is "partial 16S ribosomal RNA". It matches the Rfam family "Archaeal small subunit ribosomal RNA", at positions 717 to 982 of the family's 1478-position model. The record is from RNAcentral.